GCACAACGCGAAGAACCUUACCCACCUUUGACAUGUACGGAACUUGCCAGAGAUGGCUUGGUGCUCGAAAGAGAGCCGUAACACAGGUGCUGCAUGGCUGUCGUCAGCUCGUGUCGUGAGAUGUUGGGUUAAGUCCCGCAACGAGCGCAACCCUUGUCAUUAGUUGCUACAUUUGGUUGGGCACUCUAAUGAGACUGCCGGUGACAAACCGGAGGAAGGUGGGGAUGACGUCAAGUCCUCAUGGCCCUUAUAGGUGGGGCUACACACGUCAUACAAUGGCCGGUACAAAGGGUUGCCAACCCGCGAGGGGGAGCUAAUCCCAUAAAGCCGGUCGUAGUCCGGAUCGCAGUCUGCAACUCGACUGCGUGAAGUCGGAAUCGCUAGUAAUCGUGGAUCAGAAUGUCACGGUGAAUACGUUCCCGGGUCUUGUACACACCG
This 438-nucleotide ribosomal RNA is filed under the name uncultured bacterium. RNAcentral's name for it is "bacterial SSU rRNA". It matches the Rfam family "Bacterial small subunit ribosomal RNA", at positions 954 to 1392 of the family's 1533-position model. The record is from RNAcentral.